CAACUGAGCACAGGAGGUACAAGAGCCUGGGCUAAAAAUGAAAGGAAACAGGAAGUAAGGCCUGACGUACCCAGUAGGAGAUAGGGUUUGCUACUUGCACAAAUAACUGAACAGAGGAAGAUGCCUUCUCCCAGGCAACGUUUGCAGUCGACCACGGUAAACAAUGGAAACGAAGAAGGCAUCUCUUCUGAGUUUGCCUCAUUACCUAUGCACAUUUGGAUUUUGGACUCCUUUUGGAAUGGUCUUCUCCAGCCCUGUUCUCCUACCUUGCAUCUGUCCUGUAUCUACAGCACGGCCUGGAACCCACUGAACUGAAAGGUAAAGCUCACUACUGACUUCAUUGGAGAAAUCAAGCAUCUGACUCUUAUUUUUCAUGGAUACUUGCAUGACCUGCUGAAGAAAAUGGCAACUUUUAACCUUUGGCCUUCUUAUAGAUUUAAGACAACUAGUAGUCUUCAAGAGCUAGAAAGAACUACAGUGGCACAUAGCCAAUGAAGGUGAAAUAAUGAUAUCCAUCAUCUUAAAAGCUACUAGAUUACUAGAUUUCCUAGUUUAAGAAGUGAAAAGGAAGGUACUCUCUUACCUAGUGCAGUAGAAAACAAGAAAAAAGACAAACUGCUCUUUAAAGUUGAGAAAGCAUGCCAAAGUGCUUUGACUAAUCAAAUAUGUCUUCAUCUACUUUUUUUUUUGAUACUGUUCUGUAUUGUGCUUAACGUUUCGAAGAAAAAGUACGAGCCUGAGUGACAGUCUACAGGACCUGCUUAUUUCAGGUACAUUAUGUCAGUCUCUUUUUGCUGACAAUACAUCAUCAGAGGAACAGACUAGUUUGAAGUCCUGUUGAGUUACUAGCUGGGUCUACACGGCAAUGCUGCUUCAAAUGAUUUUAUCCUUUUAGCUUGCAAGUGCCUUGUUACCCGAGG
RNAcentral lists this long non-coding RNA (920 nucleotides) under Apteryx rowi (Okarito brown kiwi). RNAcentral's name for it is "lncRNA (ENSARWG00000005052.1)". The record is from RNAcentral. Lineage: Eukaryota; Metazoa; Chordata; Aves; Apterygiformes; Apterygidae.